RNAcentral lists this ribosomal RNA (429 nucleotides) under Pseudomonadota bacterium. Its description in RNAcentral is "Proteobacteria bacterium partial 16S ribosomal RNA". It matches the Rfam family "Bacterial small subunit ribosomal RNA", at positions 355 to 776 of the family's 1533-position model. The record is from RNAcentral. Lineage: Bacteria; Pseudomonadati; Pseudomonadota.
UGGGGAAUAUUGGACAAUGGGCGAAAGCCUGAUCCAGCCAUGCCGCGUGUGUGAAGAAGGUCUUCGGAUUGUAAAGCACUUUAAGUUGGGAGGAAGGGCAGUAAGCGAAUACCUUGCUGUUUUGACGUUACCGACAGAAUAAGCACCGGCUAACUCUGUGCCAGCAGCCGCGGUAAUACAGAGGGUGCAAGCGUUAAUCGGAAUUACUGGGCGUAAAGCGCGCGUAGGUGGUUCGUUAAGUUGAAUGUGAAAGCCCCGGGCUCAACCUGGGAACUGCAGCAAAAACUGGCGAGCUAGAGUAGGGCAAAGGGUGGUGGAAUUUCCUGUGUAGCGGUGAAAUGCGUAGAUAUAGGAAGGAACACCAGUGGAGAAGGCGACCACCUGGGCUCAUACUGACACUGAGGUGCGAAAGCGUGGGGAGCAAACAGG